UUGAUAUCUAAUAGUUAGGGAGGCGAGGUAGCUAAAUGGCGUAAUUCAACGGCGCCGUCGAGACCUAUCAAAAUCGAAAGAUAAAAUAAUUUCGAAAAGAAAAGCUCGUAUGGCAAAAACCAUUUUAGCGGUGGGUUUGGCGUGUACGGUUUUUCAAAAAUGUUAAAAAAAAACAGUUACUUGGGCAUUCUCGAGCGCGUCAGAUAUUCAUACUACGUAUGCCCCGAGUGCCUCUGAUAACAACGGUAUACUAAUCUGCCGGUUUGCGUGGUGGGGGUAGGCAUAUAAAGUAGUCAAAAAUGCAAAAAAAAAAAAUUUACUCGAGCGCGUCAGAUUUUCGGAAGGGGUGUUAAGUAGGCCCCAAAGAAGCUUCCUUUAAAAAAACUGACGAUUUCGGCGUGACGAUAAGUUACGAUGAAUUUUUGAAAAUGCAAAAAAAAAAAGUUUUUUUGAAAUACUCGAGCGCGUCAGAUUUUCAUAGGGGAGGUUUAUCUCGGUAUCCUGAAAGCAUAUUUUUUAAUCUGACAAAAAUGUUGGUGGGUUCUCUUAAUCUGACCGAAAAAGGUUUUUUGUCACAUAAUUUAAUCAUCGUUAUUUCAUAUCAAUUUUUUUUAACACCCUCAGUUUUCGAGAUAUACUCAAAAAACCGGGAGUUUGAGUUUUUAUGAUGCUUCAAGUCAAAAAGUUUUAACUUUGGACAAAAAUGUAAAGAGACCUUUUUUGUGUAAAAUAAAAUUACCUUUUUUGUUUAUUUAAACUUUUUUUUUGUAAAAUGUAUCGUUCGUGACUUAUAUGCCGCAACGCGUUCUUAGGAAGACGAAAUGGCUCCUCCACACUUCCGGUCAUGCGGAAACCGGCAGAUUUUGUAUUUUUAGUAAGUUUUAGAUUAUAUUCUUCAAAAUAAAAAAUAAAAAAAUCGCGCUCGAGAAUGCCGGAUUAACGUUUUUUUUUACAAGUUCGCGACCCUAUAACUCGGCGGCGUCAAGGACUUAUCGUCAGAUUAGUUAAAUUUAGUCUUUAAACACUAAAAUCAACCCCCAAUAUCUUAAUCUGAGGCGCUCGAGUAUUUCAGACUAUCCAUUUUUU
Long non-coding RNA from Cydia splendana, 1086 nucleotides. RefSeq lists it as uncharacterized. Lineage: Eukaryota; Metazoa; Arthropoda; Insecta; Lepidoptera; Tortricidae. The transcript has 2 exons. The record is from RefSeq and is a predicted model, not a curated record.